This 72-nucleotide transfer RNA is filed under the name Ictidomys tridecemlineatus (thirteen-lined ground squirrel). Its description in RNAcentral is "Spermophilus tridecemlineatus (thirteen-lined ground squirrel) tRNA". It matches the Rfam family "tRNA". Rfam says of the family: Transfer RNA (tRNA) molecules are approximately 80 nucleotides in length. Their secondary structure includes four short double-helical elements and three loops (D, anti-codon, and T loops). Lineage: Eukaryota; Metazoa; Chordata; Mammalia; Rodentia; Sciuridae. The record is from Rfam by way of RNAcentral.
GGGGUUGUGGCUAAGCGGUAGAGCACUCGCUUAGCACAUGCGAGGCCCUGGGUUCGAUCCCCAGCAACACAU